Molecule: ribosomal RNA, 512 nt
Filed under: uncultured bacterium
Lineage: Bacteria
Description: partial 16S ribosomal RNA
Source: RNAcentral
GGAGUUAGCCGGUGCUUCUUCUGUGAGUGAUGUCCUUCCUGCCGGCUAUUAACCCGCAGGCCUUCUUCCUCACUGAAAGUGCUUUACAACCCGAAGGCCUUCUUCACACACGCGGCAUGGCUGGAUCAGGGUUGCCCCCAUUGUCCAAUAUUCCCCACUGCUGCCUCCCGUAGGAGUCUGGGCCGUGUCUCAGUCCCAGUGUGGCUGAUCAUCCUCUCAGACCAGCUACGGAUCGUCGCCUUGGUGAGCCGUUACCUCACCAACCAGCUAAUCCGACAUAGGCUCAUCCGAUAGCGCGAGGCCCGAAGGUCCCCCGCUUUCCCCCGUAGGGCGUAUGCGGUAUUAGCCUGGGUUUCCCCCAGGUUAUCCCCCACUACCGGGCAGAUUCCUAUGCAUUACUCACCCGUCCGCCGCUCGCCACCAGGGAGCAAGCUCCCCGUGCUGCCGCUCGACUUGCAUGUGUAGCGUCGCCGCCACGCGUUCAACUCUGAGCCGACGAGUACAACUACUGA